ACAUGCAAGUCGANCGGUAGCACAGGGGAGCUUGCUCCUUGGGUGACGAGCGGCGGACGGGUGAGUAAUGUCUGGGAAACUGCCUGAUGGAGGGGGAUAACUACUGGAAACGGUAGCUAAUACCGCAUAACGUCGCAAGACCAAAGAGGGGGACCUUCGGGCCUCUUGCCAUCAGAUGUGCCCAGAUGGGAUUAGCUAGUAGGUGGGGUAAUGGCUCACCUAGGCGACGAUCCCUAGCUGGUCUGAGAGGAUGACCAGCCACACUGGAACUGAGACACGGUCCAGACUCCUACGGGAGGCAGCAGUGGGGAAUAUUGCACAAUGGGCGCAAGCCUGAUGCAGCCAUGCCGCGUGUGUGAAGAAGGCCUUCGGGUUGUAAAGCACUUUCAGCGAGGAGGAAGGUGAUGAACUUAAUA
RNAcentral lists this ribosomal RNA (416 nucleotides) under Serratia sp. MO.42. Its description in RNAcentral is "bacterial SSU rRNA". It matches the Rfam family "Bacterial small subunit ribosomal RNA", at positions 53 to 465 of the family's 1533-position model. The record is from RNAcentral. Lineage: Bacteria; Pseudomonadati; Pseudomonadota; Gammaproteobacteria; Enterobacterales; Yersiniaceae.